CGCCCUCCUUCUUUCCUUCCUUCCCUCAGAUUCGGCUGCUUCCUAGCAGGUGGGGCCUCCAGAGACCUGCUCCUUUCUCCACCCCCUCAGCUGCCCGGAGCGGGUUCAAGGGAUCACCUCCCCGGAGACCUCCUGGUGGCAAAGGAGGCGGGUGGGCAGAGGCGAGAAUGGGGCUUUUUCCUCAGAUGGCCUUAUCAGGAGCCUCCCUCCGUCCCCUCAGGAAGAGGAGGUGAGGGAAAGGCUCCUGCCCGCGUCCCACCUCGCUGCUCCUUUCAGAGCACCUCCGAGGCAGGGAUGAUAAGAAAAUGGCACAGACUUGAAAGCCUCCUGCCAAAAUGGCACUGAAAAUCCUUAGAAUGCCAUUUGAAAGUGACUUUGAACAACAAUUAGAAAGUGGUAUUGAAGAUAAUGAUGCAACUCACUGAAGAAGAUGCCCGUUUGCAUGAGGGACACAGAGAACGGAGGAUGAAAACCCGGG
Molecule: non-coding RNA, 478 nt
Organism: Pogona vitticeps (central bearded dragon)
Lineage: Eukaryota; Metazoa; Chordata; Lepidosauria; Squamata; Agamidae
Source: RefSeq, a predicted model, not a curated record